CCCGAGACGCCCCGGCGCUAGGGUUCGCUCCCCCGCCGCGCCCCAUCCCUCCGCUCCCGGCAACCCUCGCCACCUUCUCCUAUCCCCAGUCGUCGUCGUAGUACCUUGUCGUCGGUCCGGUGCGCGAGGGCAGGAGCCACGCGAAGCACCAGGCUGGUGGAGGCGCGGGGGAGGAGGAGGAAGACGAGGCAGCAGGACGGUGAGGGGAGGACGCGAGAGGGCGGCCGCGGUGGAACGGGAGGACCAUCUGAUGUCUUCGGUGGGGUAGCCCAACCGACCACUCCUCCUCCUGCGACGACGACAGAGGGCAGAGGACCAUCCAACUAUGUUGCUGCGGCUGAUGGAAUUGGGGAGGCGGCUUUGGUGAGAAGUCCGGUGGACCGAGGAACCACGGAUGCGGCGACGGAGGCCAUGGAGACUACUCAUCCUUGGUCCAGAAUCUUGCCAGACCACCCAGAGAUGACAAGCAUGCGCAUAUUUGAGAUGAUGGAUCUUGCUGCACCUGAAGAGAUGGUUAAUAUGAAGAACUUCCUAAUUGACUUCCUUGAGCCAUUCGCGCUGAGAGCUGGCUGGGAGGCCAAGAGUGGGCAGGGUAACUUGAAUGUACUGUUAAGAGGUACCCUCUUAACUGCUCUUGCUGAACUAGGCCAUCAGUCUACCAUAGAUGAGGUUGUUCGUCGAUUUAACCACCAUUGCGUGUGCUAUAGGUUCACAAAUCUAGAUGCCUUUGCUUGCCAAAUAAAAACCGAAGAAUAAUUAUGUUAGGAAGUUACACUAGCUUUGACGAUCUGAACAUUCAUGGAAUUUUUUCCGGCAUUGCAACCACAUUGAGCACUUCAGCUGUAAGUCUGUAAGCAGUUCUCUUUCAAAGAGAAAAAUGUAUACAUGCUUCAGUGAAUGGCCGGCCCUUCUAUUUAAGUAACAUUGCAAUUGUUAUUGCUACUUGCUAAUCGGUAUGCACUAGCAGUGCGGGGAAGACUUUCUCCAAAGCUCUUAAGAGUCCUCAAUCCAUUCACAUACAUAUGCAGUUUGAUUCAUGUGAAAUCAAUGACUGAUUAUCUAUGUCAACGCCAAGGGAAGUGGAGGACGAGGAUGGGGAGUUGGGGAAGUACAAAUUAAGGAUGAUUCAAUUUUAUUUGUUGGCUGAGGAACAAGUGUCAAGAUUGCUGCACCUCGAUUUAAUUUCAUGGCUCAGUCUGCACUUGGAGGAAGUACUUUGUAGCGUAUACUGGAGAGCACCGCCGCCGUAGGUUCAUGCCUUGGUGCUCCUCACCGGCGCAAUUUCCCAACCAUCUCUUCCUAUCGCCAUGUUCUCCUUUUUGCUGAAGGAACUACUUUGGAGAGACUGAAAACAUGGGACCAUAUGGUGGCUGAAGAAGGUGGACAUCACUGAUUGCCUGUUGCCUUCUUGUUAGGAGGCAAAUCAACAAGCACUCUUAUCUUACUUAAGGACGGAUUAGAUGCGAAAUAUUAUUUUUUGUUCGAUUCGUGUUCUAUUUAGUGGAUUCUGAAAGAUGAAACCAGUAUGGUGGCAUCUACCAAAGAACCAUGGCAUGUCUUUUCAAGGAAGUGGUGUGUGACCAUGAAUGCAGCAAUGAGGAUUGCUAUGUCGAUUCUUUUGUUGUAGCAGACUACUGAUAUGAUAGUCAUAUCUAUAUUAUUUUAACCU
This is a long non-coding RNA of Triticum aestivum (bread wheat), 1669 nucleotides long. RefSeq lists it as uncharacterized. Lineage: Eukaryota; Viridiplantae; Streptophyta; Magnoliopsida; Poales; Poaceae. The record is from RefSeq and is a predicted model, not a curated record. The transcript has 4 exons.